CAAUGAACUUCUUUGUUUCGAAUAGCGCCGUGAGCUUGAAGAAAUUGAGUCAAUGUAGCUGCCUCUUCACGAGAAGGUAUCACCAGUUCUCCCAUGUUCUGAAAGAUACAUGACUUUCAUGCUCAUCUUCUAUUAUCAUGUUAUGCAAGAUGAUACAAGCUGUCAUGAUUUCUCCGAGUGUUUCCAAAUCCCAAUACCUUGUUGGUCCACGUACAAUGGCAAAACGAGCUUGCAGAACUCCAAAGGCUCGUUCAACAUCCUUCCGACAAGCUUCUUGGCAUCGUGCAAAAAGUUUAUUUUUUUCAGUUGUUGGAUUUGGACUUGUCUUCACGAAUGUGGCCCAUCGCGGAUAUAUGCCAUCUGCAAGGUAAUACCCCAUGUUGUAGUUGCGACCAUUGAUGGUAUAAUUCACUUCUGGAGCAUGCCCUUUAGCUAGAUUCGCAAACACAGGUGAACGGUGAAGAA
This 465-nucleotide long non-coding RNA is filed under the name Brachypodium distachyon (stiff brome). Its description in RNAcentral is "long non-coding RNA (BDIS_LNC003743)". Lineage: Eukaryota; Viridiplantae; Streptophyta; Magnoliopsida; Poales; Poaceae. The record is from RNAcentral.